AGUUAUUACAUUCAGAUGAAUUUCAUUAUAUCAGGUUACAUCAGAGAGAACUUUCUGCCUGCAUUGAGCCCCAUCACCAAUCUCUGCUUUACUCAGCCUGAGCAGAUUCAGUAGUCGUUAUUAGGAGCUAUACUGCAGUAAGACUAUGAGCCUUUGCAAUCCUGGUGGACAGAGAACACGACGCGUGGUACUGCAUCCUGCAGACAGAGGGUCUCAAACUCAACCCGAGGGAACAGUGUGGUCAGGCUGUUGAAUGCGAUGCCUCGUCAGCCUGAAGGCAGCCACGUCCUUCAACACAGAAAAAGGCCCAAUACCCUUGUUUUCUUCGUAAAUCUGACACUAACAGAUGUGACUGUCUCGUGCAUCGGCAUCUGUAGGUGUAUUGUAUUUCUUCCAAGCUUGUGCUCAACUUUAUUCACAUUAUUUCUAACAGUGAAAACUGACAAACAAAAUUUCUGAACUUGUCCGUCUAUGUCCUAUUGUUAUAUAUGGCCACUUCCAUGAGUAAAUAUUUUGUCCUAGCCUCCACUGUGAGCCAUCAAAAACAGUAGUUCAGGUGUCAUCAACUCUGCACACACCUGACUAAACUCAUUAGCACAAACUGGACAUACUUUAUCAAAGUGCAGGUAUACACUACACCCCUGGACAAUUGUAGGUAGAUACUAGACCAGGGAUCGAGUCUCUAUCUACAAUUUUAUGAUUUAUGGUCCACCAGCCUGCAGCGGUCAAGUCCUGAAUAAUUUUACUUCAUUGGUAUAGAUCAUUGCCAAUUCUUGUCCCCUCCCUGAUAUGAAGGUCACACGAAGGCUCGAGGGUCCUCACCUUUCUGCUCAAGCGUGACUUUUCUAGAGCAAAAUUCUAACAACAGUAUCCUGUGAGGCCUGUCCUAUCUCGUUAGAACGGCUAAAUUAGUCCCUUAAUAGACACCAAUCUGAUGCAGUCAUUCUGAUCAGACUGAGUAGCUGCACCUCAACACGGUUACGUAAUCUCUGAGGCUGAUCUCUGGAUCAGCCCUCGGGCCGUAGCGUUUAACUUGCACAUUCAGCAGAAAAAAAAAACAAAACAAAACAAAAAAAACAAGCUGUUUUUGAAAUUACACAACACUUGACUAAAGUGAAUUCCUUGUAGAUGAGACAUGCAGCUUUUAUGUUAGAGGACAAAAAUUUGUUCUGCUGUUGGUGCAACUGAUUAACUUUCCUUCAAUAAUAAUUUUGACAGCAUAUUUUGGUUUAGUUUCAGUCACAUAUGACUAAACUUGGAUUUAGUUUUAGUCAUAAUUUCAUCAUCUGAAUAGUAUUAGUUGAUUAAGAAAUCACAAAUUUUUUUAGCGAACUGAGAUUUAUUUGACUUAAAUAUUAUAUUUAGUCGACUAAAGCUAAACUACAAUGGGAACAAUUCAGUUGACUAUGACUGAAACUAAACCAAAAUAUGCUGUCAAAAUUAACACUGCUUUCCUUUACAAACAGUUGCCACAAUUAGCAGCUUGUUCAGCAUCCUCUGAUUUUGCAGAAUGGCUAAAAUAAAUAAAAUAAUCAAAUGUUUAAUGUAAAAUUUAGAAACUAAAUUUAAAAAAAGCCUAUAUUAUGUUCCUUAUGGGCAAGCUAAUAUCACUUGCAUGGUGGUGUAUAAGUGGAUAUUACAGGUCCCCACAAAUACCCCACAGACACUGAGGUGAUGAAUAAUGAAACUUUUCAGGUCUUUAAUAAACAACCUGUUUAUGUGACUGUUGUGUUAAAUGUAAAAGAGCUGCAGUUGGCCACGCCUCUUUCUUGAAGAGAGGUCAUGUUUCUGGGGGGGUGUCACAGAGCACAGACCUGCAGCAUGGACUUCUGUCACACAUGUCACAGCAGAGUCACUUCAGACAUGAACUGAGUUUCUACAACAACUGCUGAAAAUGGUCAUAAUUGGAGAAUGUUUAACCUGAAAUAUGAAUCAUGUGUUGUCAUGUAUCGAUUAAAAAAA
Long non-coding RNA from Thalassophryne amazonica, 1962 nucleotides. RefSeq lists it as uncharacterized. The transcript has 2 exons. Lineage: Eukaryota; Metazoa; Chordata; Actinopteri; Batrachoidiformes; Batrachoididae. The record is from RefSeq and is a predicted model, not a curated record.